This 207-nucleotide ribosomal RNA is filed under the name uncultured bacterium. Its description in RNAcentral is "partial 16S ribosomal RNA". It matches the Rfam family "Bacterial small subunit ribosomal RNA", at positions 568 to 774 of the family's 1533-position model. The record is from RNAcentral.
CACGUAGGCGGACUGGAAAGUUGGAGGUAAAAUCCCAGGGCUCAACCUUGGAACUGCCUUCAAAACUAUCAGUCUGGAGUUCGAGAGAGGUGAGUGGAAUUCCGAGUGUAGAGGUGAAAUUCGUAGAUAUUCGGAGGAACACCAGUGGCGAAGGCGGCUCACUGGCUCGAUACUGACGCUGAGGUGCGAAAGUGUGGGGAGCAAACA